CGGAGGGCACAUGCAUACAAUGAAAAGACUAGUCUAUUGAGCUCCUCAUGAUUAUAUGCUGUAGCCUUAUCACGAAAGAGAAGUUGUGGUAGAAAAAGCCUCCUGACACCUAUAAAGGCCCCCUUCAAAGCUAUGCACGUGUAUGCCUUUAAAUACGCAUACCCCCACCUUAAAAUCGCAGUGCCAUUGCCAUCUGUCGCAAAACGCCCCAAAAUAUUACUCAC
RNAcentral lists this long non-coding RNA (224 nucleotides) under Vigna radiata. RNAcentral's name for it is "long non-coding RNA (VRAD_LNC007473)". Lineage: Eukaryota; Viridiplantae; Streptophyta; Magnoliopsida; Fabales; Fabaceae. The record is from RNAcentral.